UACGUAGGGUGCGAGCGUUGUCCGGAAUUACUGGGCGUAAAGGGCGCGUAGGCGGCCUGUUAAGUCGAACGUGAAAUCCCCGGGCUCAACCCGGGAACUGCGUCCGAUACUGGCAGGCUUGAAUCCGGGAGAGGGAUGUGGAAUUCCAGGUGUAGCGGUGAAAUGCGUAGAUAUCUGGAGGAACACCGGUGGCGAAGGCGGCAUCCUGGACCGGUAUUGACGCUGAGGAGCGAAAGCUAGGGGAGCAAACGGG
RNAcentral lists this ribosomal RNA (253 nucleotides) under uncultured bacterium. RNAcentral describes it as "partial 16S ribosomal RNA". It matches the Rfam family "Bacterial small subunit ribosomal RNA", at positions 524 to 776 of the family's 1533-position model. The record is from RNAcentral.